Piliocolobus tephrosceles (Ugandan red Colobus) is the source of this 349-nucleotide long non-coding RNA. RefSeq lists it as uncharacterized. The transcript is spliced from 3 exons. The record is from RefSeq and is a predicted model, not a curated record. NCBI's taxonomy places the organism in Eukaryota, Metazoa, Chordata, Mammalia, Primates, Cercopithecidae.
CCUCUACCUCCUGGGCUCAAGUGAUCUGCCCACCUCAGCCUCCCAAACUGCUGGAAUUACAGGUAAAAUAAAACAUUUACAUACAGUGAAAUGGACAGAUCUUAAGUGAACGGUCUGAUGAGUUUGGACAUAGACAGGCACCUGUGUAACCCACCCCUGCAACAAGAUACAGAACAAUAUCAUCAUCCUAGAAAGCCUCCCUGUGCCCCUUUCCAGUCGGUCCCUGCCCCAGCUCUCAGAGAUUGAAAGUUCCCUGAGGACGGAGGACCCCAGUGUUAACCUGUCUUGUUCAUGCUGAAUCUCCAGCAGUAACAGUGCCUGGAACAUAAUAGAUGCUCAAUAAAUAUUU